Molecule: long non-coding RNA, 1489 nt
Organism: Coturnix japonica (Japanese quail)
Lineage: Eukaryota; Metazoa; Chordata; Aves; Galliformes; Phasianidae
Source: RefSeq, a predicted model, not a curated record
UGGUAAUGAGAGCUAAGCCUUCUCUCUCAGCUAAGAACUAAUUGUUUUCCCACAGCUUUUGAAAAUUUGGAAACUGUGACAGUCUUAUGACUGUUCUGAAUCAUGCUGACUGUGCUAAGAUGGCAAAAUAAUAAUGCUAGCCUGCUUAUCCAUGACUGAGUUACUCAUUAAAGGCUAUUAACAAAGAUGAUGGGGUCAGCACAAGCAGUAUCCAAAUAAUGGUAGUUUUCUUCUCCGCUCUUCCCUACUUUGCUGGGAGAACUGAAGUUUGAGAGUAGAAGGCCAACAAGAAAUGAAAUAGGAAAGGAGGGGUCUUCUAAGGAGGCUUUCACAAUACGAUCACUCCUGGAAGCUUCUCCACCAGCCUCAAACUUGUGAAGCAGAGGAUGAAGUCCCAGACACUGGCAACAGAAAGUCCUGGUUGUUCUUCCAUUAAGAAAAGCCAUUUGGCUGAAGAGCAAGAUGGUGAAGUAGAAGCAAGAGAAUAUCCUCUGCAGCUCAUAGGAAGCCUUCCAAGCCUAUGUGACUGAGCUGGGGAGCAGUGCUGUGUUCAGCCCGAUGUUAGUGGGGCCCCAAAUGAAACACUUGCCGUAUUCCUACCUGCCAUUUUCGAGUCUUGGCUUGUCCAGUCCUUCCCUGUCAAAACCUGUUAGCGAUCCACAUGUGUACUUGCAGUAAAUAUAUAAUCUCCUGAUUGUAAUUAAAAUUCUGCAUGCUUUUCUAUUCAAUAAAGGAAAACGCUGUGCAUCUUAAUCCAGAGCUCUGCUUUUCUAUCACAGUUUUUAAAUGUCUGAUCACUGAACUAAUUGCGCAGGCAGGUUGUUUUUAGACUGUAUCACACAUCUAUUAGUUUUAUAUAUCUCAAAAUAAGUACUGGGCUAAUUUUGGCUCUUCAUGAGUGUGUUGAAAAAAUGUUUUUUCAGUCCAGGCAGAUCUUAUAAUUAGGACUGACCUCUAAAAUGCCUGUAGGAUGAAGGGCAGUUUUCUGGAAUAGGAAAGGAUGAGAGCAGAGGCUCAGAGAAAAGGCAGCUCAGCAGGAGAUCAGCACACGUUACAACGUAUGAACCUGUGUAGCCAUAUUUCAGCAGCAUAUCUGCAGCUGUGCUGCUGAUGAGGGAAGGGGAACCGCAGAGCCUUGGGGACAGAAAGAACCUAUUGUUAUUCCUGUCCAGAAGGGUAAAUAAUUGUUCAGAGUCUUUUUUACUGACCUUUGUUCCAGGAGAGCUUGUGAGUCAAAGAGAAUUACAGGGUGUAAAUCAGAAAUACUCAGUUACAGGUCAGCACAUUCACCAAGAGAUAUAAUUCAGCUCACAGUCUCCCUGAGGAACAAUCCCUCACAAAUCUCUUUUAAACUCCUGCCUGAUGUAUUGGGCACAUUACAGAAGGAACUAUUUAAAAGCACUGAUUAAUAUUUUCAGCCACUGUAAAUCUCCCAGCAUCCUGCCUGGUGGUGGCUGUGCCAGCUGACCCUCAAAGACCCCUCUUGCUC